Molecule: ribosomal RNA, 1432 nt
Filed under: uncultured organism
Description: 16S ribosomal RNA
Rfam family: Bacterial small subunit ribosomal RNA
Source: RNAcentral
CAGGCUUAACACAUGCAAGUCGAGGGGCAGCAUGGUCUUAGCUUGCUAAGACUGAUGGCGACCGGCGCACGGGUGAGUAACACGUAUCCAACCUGCCGUCUACUCUUGGACAGCCUUCUGAAAGGAAGAUUAAUACAAGAUGGCAUCAUGAGUCCGCAUGUUCACAUGAUUAAAGGUAUUCCGGUAGACGAUGGGGAUGCGUUCCAUUAGAUAGUAGGCGGGGUAACGGCCCACCUAGUCUUCGAUGGAUAGGGGUUCUGAGAGGAAGGUCCCCCACAUUGGAACUGAGACACGGUCCAAACUCCUACGGGAGGCAGCAGUGAGGAAUAUUGGUCAAUGGGCGAGAGCCUGAACCAGCCAAGUAGCGUGAAGGAUGACUGCCCUAUGGGUUGUAAACUUCUUUUAUAAAGGAAUAAAGUCGGGUAUGGAUACCCGUUUGCAUGUACUUUAUGAAUAAGGAUCGGCUAACUCCGUGCCAGCAGCCGCGGUAAUACGGAGGAUCCGAGCGUUAUCCGGAUUUAUUGGGUUUAAAGGGAGCGUAGAUGGAUGUUUAAGUCAGUUGUGAAAGUUUGCGGCUCAACCGUAAAAUUGCAGUUGAUACUGGAUAUCUUGAGUGCAGUUGAGGCAGGCGGAAUUCGUGGUGUAGCGGUGAAAUGCUUAGAUAUCACGAAGAACUCCGAUUGCGAAGGCAGCCUGCUAAGCUGCAACUGACAUUGAGGCUCGAAAGUGUGGGUAUCAAACAGGAUUAGAUACCCUGGUAGUCCACACGGUAAACGAUGAAUACUCGCUGUUUGCGAUAUACGGCAAGCGGCCAAGCGAAAGCGUUAAGUAUUCCACCUGGGGAGUACGCCGGCAACGGUGAAACUCAAAGGAAUUGACGGGGGCCCGCACAAGCGGAGGAACAUGUGGUUUAAUUCGAUGAUACGCGAGGAACCUUACCCGGGCUUAAAUUGCAGAUGAAUUACGGUGAAAGCCGUAAGCCGCAAGGCAUCUGUGAAGGUGCUGCAUGGUUGUCGUCAGCUCGUGCCGUGAGGUGUCGGCUUAAGUGCCAUAACGAGCGCAACCCUUGUUGUCAGUUACUAACAGGUUCCGCUGAGGACUCUGACAAGACUGCCAUCGUAAGAUGUGAGGAAGGUGGGGAUGACGUCAAAUCAGCACGGCCCUUACGUCCGGGGCUACACACGUGUUACAAUGGGGGGUACAGAGGGCCGCUACCACGCGAGUGGAUGCCAAUCCCAAAAACCUCUCUCAGUUCGGACUGGAGUCUGCAACCCGACUCCACGAAGCUGGAUUCGCUAGUAAUCGCGCAUCAGCCACGGCGCGGUGAAUACGUUCCCGGGCCUUGUACACACCGCCCGUCAAGCCAUGGGAGCCGGGGGUACCUGAAGUGCGUAACCGCGAGGAGCGCCCUAGGGUAAAACUGGUGACUGGG